AUGGAGCUGUUCCCGAGGCGGGUGCUUCCUCUGCUCCCCCAGGAGGGGGAUCCCGUGUGUGAAAGUAUUUUCGGGACCUGGCAUCUUCACAAGCCCCAAGGGUUAUUCCUAGAGGCGCCAGAGGCUCCAGGUUUCUUGGGAGAGUCUUGGUUUAGGGCCGCGGCUCAGGUGUUAGCGACGCGACCUCCUUGUCCGCUCAGGAGUCUCAGGCUUUGGGCAAUAACCCGCAGCAUCACCUACGUGAAGCCCACGGAAAAACAGAGAGGUAUUUUUUUUCUUAAUUGUUAUUUAUUUGUUCUAUUGAUAUUUUAUUUCUGUGUUUGAGAGGGAGGGAAGAGGGAGGGAAGGGGAGCAGAGGCGCAGGGAGAAGCAGGCACCUGCCCCUGGGGCGACCCCGAGAAAAAACAUCCCCAAGAAAGAUGUUUUUAGGCCCCCAGAUGACCUGAACGCUUCCCCUUUCCGAGGCCCUUCCCCUUCCCAGCCGCACAGCCAGGGAAGCCCCGGGCCGCCCCCCUGAACCUGCCAGCAGGUGGCCGGGCGUUCCCGGGGCGUGGGGGGGCGGGGAGCACAGAAGGCCAGCGGCCCCGGGGCGGCCACCUGGGAGCUGGGGCCUGGGGCGCACAGGUGCGGCCAUCAGGAGCACCAAGCCUGGGGACAGUAGUGCCCACCCCCACCCCCAGGGACACCCCCGGGAACGGGGACCUCGGACCUCCGGCCCGAGGUCAGAUGGUGCAGGCCGGGCAGUAGGAAAGGUGCUGCAGCAAGUGGCACUGGGACUCGGCCAGUGGGAGCUCGGAGCCAUGGUCCGGCUUGCCCAGGUGCACAGGAACACGCACUCACGCGGGCUAACCGCCGGCCUAGGUUGGGGUACAGGGAUACAGCACCUGAGGCUGCACCUGAGGCUGCACCUGCUGCCCCCGGGCACCAGGUGGACCCUGCAGCUGGGGACUUGCAGGCCUCCCCGGGGGCCUGGAGCCAGUAGGGUGGCUCUCCCAGGGCGGCUCCCCCAGGGCGGCUCCCCCACGCUUAUUAACUUACGAAGGAAAGACCUCAAGUGAUUGGGGUCGCGGAAUACAUUGCCAAGUUAAGAUUGAGCCUAAUGUAAAAAGAAAAAAAAAAAAAAAGAUUGAGCUUAAUGGGUUUGGUUUUUUUCCCCCCAAGAAACUAUUACACAAAGUCUGAAUCAAUUGUUGGGUCUUCGCUAAAUCCAAUACCAAGCAGACACAACAGAGGCACUUUUUUUUUUAAGAUUUUUAUUUAUUUAUUCAUGACAGACAGAGAGAAAGAGGCAGAGACACAGGCAGAGGGAGAAGCAGGCUCCAUG
This is a long non-coding RNA of Vulpes vulpes (red fox), 1324 nucleotides long. The record is from Ensembl. NCBI's taxonomy places the organism in Eukaryota, Metazoa, Chordata, Mammalia, Carnivora, Canidae.